CGUCGCUCGGCCGCAGUGGCAACGGCGCCGCCCUUCUCCCGCAACUCGACGCCGACCCAUCCCCAUCCUCCGCCGCCGGCUCUUUCCCAUCCCCAUCCCCAACUAGUGAGCGUGAACCCGAUGUGAGGCGCGCGAAAUCCCUCCGCCAUGGAGCAUAGUGACGGCGAGACCGCCGCCAAGCGAGCCAAGCUCUCCGCCAGCGGCAGCGAGGACCUCCUCAGCGCGCUAUCCGACGACGUUCUCAUUCACAUCCUUCUCAAGCUCCGCAACACCGCCGUCGCCGCUCGGACCAGCGUCCUCUCCAGCCGCUGGCGCCGCCUCUGGGCCCUCCUCCCGGGCCUGGACUUUCUCCCCGACAUCAACCCAUACAGCGUACCCGCCGUCCUCGCCGCCCAUCAAGCGCCGGCCCUCCGCUCUCUCCGCAUCCUCGCCACGGACGCCUCUGCCGACUUCAUGGCCGCGUGGCUCCCCAUCGCCGCCCGCCGCCUCUCCGGCGAUCUAUUCUUCAUCAACACCGUGUCGCCGGACGACGAGGCCGGGGACAGAGGCGCCUUUGAACUGCCAUGCUUCGAGAACGCCACCUCGAUCACGCUCCACUUAGGGUUUCUUGGCAUUGCAGUGCCAGCCUCCGCCAUAUCCUCUCGGCUCACCGAUCUUGGCCUGAAUAGCUUCCAGGUACAGGGUCCGUGCUUGCUCGGUGACGUUGUAUCCUCGGCGUGGUCCCCAUGCUUGCAAAGGCUCACCAUCAACGAUGCCCGAGGCAUCGACAAAUUCACCAUCCGCUCAGAGUCUCUCCUGCAAUUGAAGCUCAAGGAUCUAGAUGGCCUGCAGCAGCUCACUGUCGUGGCGCCGAAGCUCAAAGAGCUAAGUGUGAUCCUUUGCUUUGCUCCGAAUCAACCUAUUGCUAGCAUCUCAGCUCCUGAGCUGGUGUCGCUCCACUGGAAUGAUGCCUAUGAUCCAUGCUCUGUCCAACUUGGCGAGAUGGCACAUCUACAAUGUCUGCACGUUGGCAUUUUUCUCGUAUAUGGACCACUUGAUUUUACACCCAAUCGCGAUUGCCUGAGGAUCUUGCGGGACUUCAAGGUCAUGCACAGUCUAACCCUCCUACUGCUCUAUAAUCCGGAUAUAGGUAACUAUCGAUACUUGAUGCAUGACAUGACAAGGCUCCCUGACGUCACAUGCUUGUCCCUGACUGUGAUGUCAAACGGACAUUGCUUUGGUGCCAGCUCAUUCCACAUUCUCGGACUGUGUACUGGUGUAAGAAAGUUGGCACUUAACUACUUUGAGGCGCAGACUCCAUGCCCAUCGAGUUGCAUUUGUGAUCAGCCAACACACUGGAAAAGUGAGAAACUUGUGCUCGAUCGCCUCCAAGAAGUAGAAAUUAGUGAACUAUCAGGAACUGAACAUGAAUGUAAUUUUGUGCAACGGUUAUUCAGUUGGGCAACGGCCUUAAAAAAGAUGACAGUAUCUUUUCAUCACUCAAUUACGGAAAGCAAGGCCAAGGGGUUGUGCCAGAUGUUACGAAGCUUCUCCACAUCGGAACUAUAUAUGGAAUUUUAUGUGCACCGCUGUUUGGUGGGGAAAGUUCUGUAUGUUCCUGAAGAUUAACACACUGAUUUGCCAAUUCUCACAAGCUUCUGGUUUGCUUGGUCCUAAUGUUGGCAUGCUGACGAAUUCAUGUUGCCAGAAUGUCAAUGCUGUUGGGAUUGUCUUUCUGGGAUGUGUGUUUAUCUUUGUAAUAUGUAUGCAACUAUGGAUGCUAAUUAAUUUGCUAGGAUAUCAGCAGCUUACCCUGACUUCUAUUCUAUCGAUGCUGAGAGCAUUUGUUAAGUGGGGUGCUCUGCUAUUUAGUAGUCUCAUGGUGAUUUCUGCUAUGAAUUUCUGUUAUUGUAAUGGUACCCGGGACUGGAAGGUCACCCUUUUGAUAUCUUUUGCUGGAAUUUGUGUAAAGCUACAUGUCCAAUGGUCUUUCAUGUUGGGUGAAUUACGAUAAGCUGUUUAGAUGGGAGAUUAAUAUCCAGAGCAUUAACUGCUAAUGAAAGCUGGUGGUAUUUAUCAUGUGACGUGCACUUAUGAUCUACUGCAGAGGGCAAGUGUUCCAAACAAGGUUGCCAGAACAGGACUCCUAGCCUGAGGUACGGUGGUUUGACACUUGAAGACUCCAGUGGACAGUAGUAAAAUAAAUAUGGAAGCUGAAGAUAUCAGUAAAAGAAAGACCGUUAUGUGGUAUCUUCGCCGAGGAAGUUGUGCUGACAAAGGACAAUCUUGCUCGCUGCAACUGGCAAGGAAGCAAAAGAAGCAUUGUUUUUGUGCUCAUGGCAAGACAAUUAAACAACUCUUCUUUCAGUGCAAGUUUGCGCAUUCUAUGUAGUCAGUCAUCUAAAAUAAUGUUCAAUUUGUAUCUGUCAACAAGUGUUGCCAAUUUGUAUGGUCAUUGUUCGAUGACAUACCUAACAAGUUUUAUAUGCUAACAAGGGUGGAUGCAUCUGCCUUACUAUGGGCGCUUAGACUAUGUAGAAAUGAUAUGAUUUUCAAUGUAAAAGUUCAUCUCCGUUAUCUACUGCUGGACGAAUUGGCUUCAUACGGGGUCUACAUUACUCUGAAUGAAGCACCAACCAUUGUUGACAAUGGU
This is a non-coding RNA of Triticum urartu, 2632 nucleotides long. Lineage: Eukaryota; Viridiplantae; Streptophyta; Magnoliopsida; Poales; Poaceae. The record is from RefSeq and is a predicted model, not a curated record.